Molecule: ribosomal RNA, 254 nt
Filed under: uncultured bacterium
Lineage: Bacteria
Description: partial 16S ribosomal RNA
Rfam family: Bacterial small subunit ribosomal RNA
Source: RNAcentral
CACGUAGGGUGCGAGCGUUGUCCGGAAUUAUUGGGCGUAAAGAGCUCGUAGGCGGCUCAGUAAGUCGGAUGUGAAAACUCGGGGCUCAACCCCGAGACGCCAUCCGAUACUGCUGUGGCUUGAGUCUGGUAGGGGAACACGGAAUUCCUGGUGUAGCGGUGAAAUGCGCAGAUAUCAGGAGGAACACCGAUGGCGAAGGCAGUGUUCUGGGCCAGUACUGACGCUGAGGAGCGAAAGCGUGGGUAGCAAACAGG